AUUCUGUUGUUGAUUUACUUCUAUGCUUUGGGUCAUUGUCCUGUUGCAAAACCCAUCUUCUGUUGAGCUUCAGCUGGUAGACAGAUGGCCUUAAGUUCUCCUGCAAAAUGUCUUGAUAAACUUGGGAAUUGAUUUUUCCUUCGAUGAUAGCAAUUCGUCCAGUCCCUGAUGCAGCAAAGCAGCUCCAAACCAUGAUGCCCCCACCACCAUACUUCACAGUUGGGAUGAGGUUUUGAUGUUGGUGUGCUGUGCCUUUUUUUCGCCACACAUAGUGUUGUGUGUUUCUUCCAAACAACUCAACUUUCAUCUGUCCACAGAAUAUUUUGCCAGUACUGCUGUGGGACAUCCAGGUGCUCUUGUGCAAACUGUAAACGUGCAGCAAUGUUUUGUUUGGACAGCAAUGGCUUCCUCUGUGGUAUCCUCCCAUGAAAUCCAUUCUUGUUUAGUGUUUUACGUAUUGUAGAUUCGCUAACAGGGAUGUUAGCAUUUGCCAAUGACUUUUGUAAGUCUUUAGCUGACACUGUAGGAUUCUUCUUC
This is a non-coding RNA of Pelobates cultripes (western spadefoot toad), 537 nucleotides long. The record is from the annotation of a GenBank genome assembly. NCBI's taxonomy places the organism in Eukaryota, Metazoa, Chordata, Amphibia, Anura, Pelobatidae.